This 453-nucleotide ribosomal RNA is filed under the name uncultured bacterium. Its description in RNAcentral is "bacterial SSU rRNA". It matches the Rfam family "Bacterial small subunit ribosomal RNA", at positions 9 to 508 of the family's 1533-position model. The record is from RNAcentral.
GGGUUUGAUUAUGGCUCAGGAUGAACGCUGGCGGCGUGCUUAACACAUGCAAGUCGAACGAACCUUCGGGUUAGUGGCGGACGGGUGAGUAACGCGUGAGAAUCUGCCCUCAGGAGGGGGAUAACAGCUGGAAACGGCUGCUAAUACCCCAUAUGCCGCGAGGUGAAAUGAAUUUCGCCUGAGGAUGAGCUCGCGUCUGAUUAGCUAGUUGGUGUGGGUAAUGGCUCACCAAGGCAUCGAUCAGUAGCUGGUCUGAGAGGAUGAUCAGCCACACUGGGACUGAGACACGGCCCAGACUCCUACGGGAGGCAGCAGUGGGGAAUUUUCCGCAAUGGGCGAAAGCCUGACGGAGCAACGCCGCGUGAGGGAUGAAGGCCUCUGAGCUGUAAACCUCUUUUAUCAAGGAAGAAGAUCUGACGGUACUUGAUGAAUAAGCCACGGCUAAUUCCGUGC